AUGCAGAGGGCUAGUAUGUGUGUUCCUGUAUGAAACUGCAGCUGAGAAAGGGGAAGAGUUCAUGUGGGGUGCAUUGAGUUCAUGUGUGAGAAGAGGUAAUGGAGAUUUGAUGUGAAACAUAUGUACUGG
Long non-coding RNA from Sander lucioperca (pikeperch), 129 nucleotides. RefSeq lists it as uncharacterized. The record is from RefSeq and is a predicted model, not a curated record. NCBI's taxonomy places the organism in Eukaryota, Metazoa, Chordata, Actinopteri, Perciformes, Percidae. The transcript has 2 exons.